GAUCCUUUCAGUGGGGACAUUACUAUUCAGUCAUCAAGUCAUUUGAGGAUCGUCAGUGGUACGAGUGUAACGACAGCUCUGUGCGCAAGAUACCUGAUUUAAAAAACCCCUUCUACUGUGAGAAGGCCUUUCUUCUUCUGUACACAAAAAAAUAAUCAGGAUAACAAUGACCCUGGUCUGGUUUACCGUUGAUUAAAAAACUUAACUUAAAACAAACAGUUUUAGCUAAAAAAAAAAUCACACAAAAAAUGAGACACCAUUUGGAUAAUCUAAACCUCAAACAGAUACUUCUGGAUCUAACUCUGAUCUUCAACCGGAGGAAACUC
This is a long non-coding RNA of Puntigrus tetrazona (Sumatra barb), 326 nucleotides long. RefSeq lists it as uncharacterized. NCBI's taxonomy places the organism in Eukaryota, Metazoa, Chordata, Actinopteri, Cypriniformes, Cyprinidae. The record is from RefSeq and is a predicted model, not a curated record. The transcript has 3 exons.